CGCGAAUGGCUCAUUAAACAGCUAUAAUUCACUCGAUCUUGACACAAUCCUACUUGGAUAACUGUGGUAAUUCUAGAGCUAAUACAUGCAUUAAAGCUCUGACCUCACGGAAAGAGUGCAUUUAUUAGAACAAAGCCAAGCGGCUUCGGCUGUUUUCGGUUGACUCAUAGUAACUGAGCUGAUCGCAUGGUCUUGCACCGGCGACGUGUCUUUCAAGUAUCUGCCGUAUCAACUUUCGAUGGUAGUGUAUCUGACUACCAUGGUGAUCACGCGUAACGGAGAAUAAGGGUUCGACUCCGGAGAGUUCGCCUGAGAAAUCGCGAACACAUCUAAGGAAGGCAGCAGGCGCGAAAAUUACCCACUCUCAGCACGAGGAGGUAGUGACGAAAAAUAACGAGACCGUUCUCUUUCGAGGCCGGUCAUCGGAAUGGGUACAAUUUAAACCCUUUAACGAGUAUCUAUGAGAGGGCAAGUCUGGUGCCAGCAGCCGCGGUAAUUCCAGCU
Molecule: ribosomal RNA, 504 nt
Filed under: Eucephalobus cf. oxyuroides JH-2004
Lineage: Eukaryota; Metazoa; Nematoda; Chromadorea; Rhabditida; Cephalobidae
Description: SSU rRNA
Rfam family: Eukaryotic small subunit ribosomal RNA
Source: RNAcentral